RNAcentral lists this ribosomal RNA (253 nucleotides) under uncultured bacterium. Its description in RNAcentral is "partial 16S ribosomal RNA". It matches the Rfam family "Bacterial small subunit ribosomal RNA", at positions 524 to 776 of the family's 1533-position model. The record is from RNAcentral.
UACGUAGGGGGCAAGCGUUGUCCGGAAUCAUUGGGCGUAAAGAGCGUGUAGGCGGCCAGACAGGUCCGUUGUGAAAACUGGAGGCUCAACCUCCAGACGUCGAUGGAAACCGUCUGGCUAGAGUCCGGAAGAGGAGAGUGGAAUUCCUGGUGUAGCGGUGAAAUGCGCAGAUAUCAGGAGAAACACCGGUGGCGAAGGCGGGAUCCUGGGCCAGUACUGACGCUGAGGAGCGAAAGCCAGGGGAGCAAACGGG